Molecule: small nucleolar RNA, 120 nt
Filed under: Castor canadensis (American beaver)
Lineage: Eukaryota; Metazoa; Chordata; Mammalia; Rodentia; Castoridae
Description: Small nucleolar RNA SNORA51 (ENSCCNG00000013113.1)
Rfam family: Small nucleolar RNA SNORA51
About the family: ACA51 is a member of the H/ACA class of snoRNA that guide the sites of modification of uridines to pseudouridines.
Source: RNAcentral
GACCUCUUGGUGCUGACCACAGGCUGUGUUCUUACACUCGCUGUACAGGAAAAGGAGGCAACAUAAACCUACCCCAGAUACACCUCAGCCCAGGCCCUGUGCCUCCAUGGGGAGAGAGGA